Molecule: transfer RNA, 85 nt
Filed under: Alphaproteobacteria bacterium
Lineage: Bacteria; Pseudomonadati; Pseudomonadota; Alphaproteobacteria
Also listed under: 1 other name
Description: tRNA-Leu
Rfam family: tRNA
About the family: Transfer RNA (tRNA) molecules are approximately 80 nucleotides in length.
Source: RNAcentral
GCGGCUGUGGUGAAAUUGGUAGACACGCCAGAUUUAGGUUCUGGUGCUUUCGGGCGUGGGGGUUCAAGUCCCUCCAGCCGCACCA